Molecule: long non-coding RNA, 1307 nt
Organism: Homo sapiens (human)
Lineage: Eukaryota; Metazoa; Chordata; Mammalia; Primates; Hominidae
Gene: TEX41
Product: testis expressed 41
Source: Ensembl
AUCUUGAAAACGGAAAAUAAAAACAGCAGACCUAUGAAGGUCGAAGGGGAAGAAAAGCUGUAUCGAUUGUUGAGAUCUGGCGACUUGUUUAAAUUUCAUCAGCCUCACUUCUAUGAACUCUCAGAGCUGAUUACCAACUCCUACCACUGUUAACCCUCAUCCAGGAACAAGCUUAUGUCUUUAACAUUCUGAGUGGGCUUCAGCAUCCUUGCAUAUGUUCAAUUCUUAAAAACCUGUUGAAAUAAAAGAUCAGGAGACAUAGGAAGGAUGCCAGAAGAGAGCGUGGCCUCACGUGUACCAGCUCUCUGCUCUCCUUUGCCUUGGGACGUUCCAUCCCUGGAAGUUUCCCUGCCCACAUCUUUGUAGAGAGUCCAUUCUCCAAGCUUCAGUGUGUCAUCUGUGAGGACCGUGACCCACCUGGUACAUCGCCUCAGGGCAUUCAUUUCAGGCUCCUUCUAAAUGGCCAAGGAUCUUGGAAGCAGAGGGAUCUGCAGAAGUGCUUGCAACACUUUCAGCCUUAACCAGCAUCAGAGACAAAAAUCCUUUCUGGAAUGAGACAGAGUCCUGCUCUGUCACCCAGGCUGGAGUGCAGUGGCAUGAUCCUGUCUCAUUGCAACCUCUGCCUCCCGGAUUCAAGCGAUUCUCGUGCGUCAGCCUCCCAAGUAGCUGGGAUUACAGGCGUGAGCCCCUGUGCCCGCCCCCCCCACUUCUGGACCACUGAAGCACAACCACACUUUGGAGCCAGAAGAGGAGCUGAAAUGUCAAUUGGAGAGGACUUUCCUGCUCUAAAAGGUGAGGAAGACAGCACAAGUAACUUGCCAAAGAUAAGUGGCUAAUAAGUGGCAGAGCGAGGGUUUAAAGCAGGCAUGAAGGUGCUGCAGCCCAUGCACUUAGCCCCAACAUCAUGCUGCUCUCUGACUCACCAGCUAACCAAGUAAAUAAACGACAGUGAUGAGGUAAAUAAACAGGAUGAGGUAAAUAAAGAGGCUUACACAGUGCUCUAAAAGGAUGCUUUGAAGGAAGGGAAGAUCCCAACGAACCAGCCAUGAGAAGAACCCUUUACAGAGGGAAUAACAAGUGGCAAAGCUUCCCAAGUGAGGGUGGGGAAGAACCUGAUGGGUUUUGGAACUCAAAGUUUCUUCCUCUAACGUUCACCAAUUUAAUCUUUCCCUACAUAGAGUAAAUUGAGUUCCCCUGCUAUUAACAUUUGUUUUGUGGAUAAGUUAGUCUUUUUCUUUUUAAGAGUAUUAUUUAAACCAUUGAUCACUAAUUUCAUAAGCAAACCUUUGCCUUUUAAUAAAGCCUUU